GUUUUCUAGAUUAGACAUGCAAUAUAAUUGUAAUGAUAAAGAGAAGAUUAUCAUGGCCCUUUUCUAAGGAUGAUUAACGAUUAAGAGUCCAAAUAUUAUU
Cryptomeria japonica (Japanese cedar) is the source of this 100-nucleotide small nuclear RNA. NCBI's taxonomy places the organism in Eukaryota, Viridiplantae, Streptophyta, Pinopsida, Cupressales, Cupressaceae. The record is from RefSeq and is a predicted model, not a curated record.